RNAcentral lists this ribosomal RNA (494 nucleotides) under uncultured bacterium. Its description in RNAcentral is "partial 16S ribosomal RNA". It matches the Rfam family "Bacterial small subunit ribosomal RNA", at positions 28 to 507 of the family's 1533-position model. The record is from RNAcentral.
GACGAACGCUGGCGGCGCGCUUAACACAUGCAAGUCGAACGGAAAGGCCUGCUUUCCCUUGUGGAUUGCGGGUACUCGAGUGGCGAACGGGUGAGUAACACGUGAGUGAUCUGCCCCCAACUUGGGUAUAAGCCUGGGAAACUGGGUCUAAUUCCCGAUAGGACUGCAGGGUGGUGCCUGUGGUGGAAAACGAUUUUCUAGUGGUUGGGGAUGAGCUCGCGGCCUAUCAGCUUGUUGGUGGGGUAAUGGCCUACCAAGGCGGCGACGGGUAGCCGGCCUGGGAGGGUGGACGUGAACAGUGGGACGGAGACACGGCGCAGACGCCUACGGGAGGCAGCAGUGGGGAAGAAUGCACAAUGGGCGGAAGCCUGAUGCAGCGACGCCGCGUGGGGGAUGACGGCCUUCGGGUUGUAAACUCCUUUCGACCGCGAGGAAGCCACCUGGUUGGAAGGGUGGUGACGGUAGUGGUAGAAGAAGCACCGGCUAACUACGUG